AGGAGUGGGCUAGCAGUGCUGGCAGAGGAGUGAGGAAGCUCCUGUGUCUUCAUAAUGACUGGUAACCCCACGUGACUCAUCAGACGCGCUUGGGCAUCAUUUACAUUCAUGAUGUUGCAGGGCUGACAUCAGGGACUUGAGGAAAUACCAUGUGGUAAUGAAAUAUGUCUAAAUUCCUUCUCAGGCUGUCCACAUCGUUCCUAGAUUCUCCCAGGACGCCAUCAGUGUUUUAGGUUUCAGCUUCCUCGUUCUGAAUGACUCCUACCACUUAACGGACAAACAUUUGUGAUAUUACCCGUCAAACAUAAAGGACAGGCUUAGUUCUGGGCCUUGCGGUUAUGGCCUGUUCUCGGGUGGAAGGUAAAGGACAGCGUGUCUAGACUGCAAGAGUCGCAGAUAAUGUGAAGCCUGGGCUGUAUCCAGAGAUUCCCUACAGCCAUUAUUUACCAGAAUCUAGAAGGCUCGGAUUCUACAACGUGGUUUAUUCUAGACUACACUCUCCUGCAUCAGGAGCUGCUACCAUGUGGCUGAGGCAAGCAGGCUUAUUUGUGAUAGCCAGAAGCUGGAAACAACCCAGAUGUCCCAAAAAGAAGAAUGAAUACAGAAAAGGUGGUUCAUUUACACAAAAGAGUUUUGCAGGCAAAUGGAUGGAACUAGAAAAAUAUCAUCCUGAGUGAGUCUUUCAAACAGAAGAUGGCAAGAAAUUCAUCCGAUAAACUGAAGAAAUAACUAUAAAACUUUAGAGGAUGGAAAAAGAUGGUCGGGGAAGUCCUGGAUGAAUCAUCAACACCUUUAGAAGAAGACAGAUGACAAGAAGGAAGUCAAUGUGGUUGGAAUGAGAUGAAAAAAAUCUUGUCAUGGGAGAUCCCUUGGUUGUGUUUAAUUUGUUGAUUCCUAUCAAACUGGUCAUAGGAAACCUUGAAAUUAAGUAGUGUCUGUCCUUCAUCUUUGAUCUCUUUUAUCAGCAUGUCUAUUCUAGUUCUUUAAAAUUUCCAUAUAAACCAGAGACAGGAUUUUUUGAAAUUCACAAAAUAACUUGCUAGAAUUUCAGUUAUAUUGCAUCAACUAUAGAGAUAAUAUUGGCAAAAGAAAUUCUAAUGUGCUACUGACAUUGAGUCUUCCAAUUUUUGACACAACAAAAAGCUUUUGCAUCAAAAGGAAUAAGAGAUUAUUUAUUAUGACUAAAUAUAGUGGCUCUCAAGAAUGAGCACUUGGAUUGUCGUGAAUGCUGUUUUUAAAGUGGUAGCAGUUGCAUGAAUAUUUAUACUCAUGUACCCACAUAUGGAGAGCACCAGAGGUGCAAGUAUGUGAAGACCAGAGUGGGUAGGUGUUGUUGAUAUGAUGCUAGAGGGUCUAGAACCACAUCCUGAGACCCAUAGGAAAACAAAAAACUUUUCUCCUGCUCUGAGCCUCAGAGAGAAAACAAACACUUCCUCUGGUCCAUGUGUAAAUGUUUAUAGUGUGUGCAAAAAUGCUUUAGCAUAGCUUUUUUCCCCCUGGAUGUUUAGCGCCUUAAGUUACAGUGAGAAUGGCUAAGAUCAAAAACUCAGGUGACAGCAGAUGCUAGCAAGGAUGUGAAGAAAGAGGACAACACCUGCAUUGCUGGUGGGAUUGCAAGCUGGUACAAAAGAUGUAGAAAUCAAUCUGGUGGUUCCUCAGAAAAUUGGACAUAGUACUACAUGAAGACCCAGCUAUACCAUCCCUGGGCAUAUACCCAAAAGAUGUUCCAAAAUAUAACAAGGACAUAUGUUCCACUAAGUUCAUAGCAGCCUUAUUUAUAAUAGCCAGAAGCUGGAAAGAACCCAGAUGUCCUUCAACCAAGGAAUGGAUACAGAAAAUGUGGUACAUUUACACAAUGGAAUACUUAGAGCUAUUAAAAACAAGGACUUCAUGAAAUUCUUAGGCAAAUGGAUGGAGCUAGAAAAUAUCAUCUUGAGUGAGGUAACCCACUCACAAAUAAAAAAUACAUAGUAUGUACUCACUGAUAAGUGGAUAUCAGCCCAAAAGCUCAGGAUACCCAAGAAAAAACUCACAGACCAUAUGAAGCUCAAGAAGGAAGACAAAAACAUGGAUUCUUCAUUCCUUCUUACAAGGGGGAACAAAAUACUCACAGGAGGAAAUACAGGGAGAAAGCGUGGAGCAGAGACUGAAGAAAGGCCAUCCAGAGACUGCCCUACCUGGGGGUCCAUCCCAUAUGCAGCCAUCAAACUCAGUCACUAUUGCUGAUGCCCAGAAGUGCUUGCUCACAGGAGCCUGAUAUGGAUGUCUUCUUAGAGGCUCUGCCAGAGCCUUAUUGAUACAGAUGAGGAUGCUUGCAGCUAAGCAUAAGUCUGAGCACGGGGACUCCAAUGGAGGAAUUAAAGGACUGAAGGAAUGAAAGGGGUUGAAGCCCCAUAGGAAGAACAACAUAUCAACCAACAAGACACCUGGGAGCUGCCAAGGACUAAAGCACCAACAAAAGAGUACACAUGGAGGGACCCAUAGCUCCAUUUGCUUAUGUAACAGAGGAUGGCAUUGUCUAGCAUCAAUAGAGAAGCCUUUGGACCUGUGAAGGCUCAUUUCCCCAAUGUAGGGUAAUGCCAGGGU
Non-coding RNA from Rattus norvegicus (Norway rat), 2586 nucleotides. Lineage: Eukaryota; Metazoa; Chordata; Mammalia; Rodentia; Muridae. The record is from RefSeq and is a predicted model, not a curated record.